Molecule: RNA transcript, 1077 nt
Organism: Otolemur garnettii (small-eared galago)
Lineage: Eukaryota; Metazoa; Chordata; Mammalia; Primates; Galagidae
Gene name: baculoviral IAP repeat-containing protein 2 pseudogene
Exons: 2
Source: RefSeq, a predicted model, not a curated record
UCAUCACAUUUAACAGAUGAUUAGAGAGUGAACAAAAUAACUAAAAGUUAUAUACCUUAAAAUAGUAAUAAAAAGAACCUAAACACUGUUGUAAGCAUUUUCCAUAAGGUUGUUUGUAUAGUUAAGAGGUUUAUCAACCCAAAUUUAAAUGAGCAUUGUAUCAAAUUCUGAUAAUCAAUUUCUCAGAUUAUAAUUCCCCUACAGUUAUUUGAUUUUAAAAAACGAUUUUUCUCCUGUGUUUUUGGUUAAAUAAAUCUCUUAAUAAAUCCUGGCCUUGCUUGUGGUGGGAAGCUAAGUAACUGGGAACCAAAGGAUGAUGCUAUGUCAAAACAUUGGAGAUAUUUUCCCAACUGUCCAUUUUUGGAAAAUUCUCUAGAAACUCUGAGGUUUAGCAUUUCAAAUCUGAGCAUGCAGACAUAUGCAGCUUGAAUGAGCACAUUUAUGUAUUGGCCAUCUAGUGUUCCAGUUCAGCCUGAGCAGCUUGCAAGUGCUGGUUUUUAUUAUGUGGGUCGCAAUGAUGAUGUCAAAUGCUUUUGUUGUGAUGGUGGCUUGAGGUGUUGGGAAUUUGGAGAUGAUCCAUGGGUACAACAUGCCAAGUGGUUUCCAAGGUGUGAGUUCUUGAUACACAUGAAAGGGCAAGGGUUUGUUGAUGAGAUUCAAGGUCGAUAUCCUCAUCUUCUUGAACAGCUAUUGUCAACUUCAGAUACUCCUGGAGAUGAAAAUGCUGAUCCACCAAUUGUUCAUUUUGGAUCUGGAGAAAGUGCUUCAGAAGAUGCAGUCAUGAUGAAUACACCUGUGGUGAAAUCUGCCUUGGAAAUGGGCUUUAGUAGAAGCCUGGUAAGACAAACAGUUCAGAGCAAAAUCCUAACUACUGGAGAGAACUACAAAACAGUCAAUGAUAUUGUAUCAGCUCUUCUUAAGGCUGAAGAUGAAAAAAGAGAAGAGGACAAGGAAAGACAAGCUGAAGAAAUGGCAUCAGAUGACUUGCCAUUAAUUCGGAAGAAUAGAAUGGCUCUCUUUCAGCGGUUGACGUGUGUGCUUCCUAUCCUGGAUAAUCUUUUAAAGGCAAAUGUGUAA